Molecule: ribosomal RNA, 253 nt
Filed under: uncultured bacterium
Lineage: Bacteria
Description: partial 16S ribosomal RNA
Rfam family: Bacterial small subunit ribosomal RNA
Source: RNAcentral
UACAUGUGGGGCAAGCGUUGUUCGGAAUUACUGGGCUUAAAGGGUGCGUAGGUGGCUUGUUAAGUCAGGGGUGAAAGUUUUCGGCCCAACCGGAAAAUGGCCUUUGAUACUGGCGAGCUCGAGUGCGUGAGGGGUAACCGGAACGAGCAGUGUAGCGGUGAAAUGCGUAGAUAUUGCUCGGAAGGCCAACGGCGAAGGCAGGUUACUGGUGCGCAACUGACACUGAGGCACGAAAGCGUGGGGAGCAAACAGG